Long non-coding RNA from Lates calcarifer (barramundi perch), 2361 nucleotides. RefSeq lists it as uncharacterized. The record is from RefSeq and is a predicted model, not a curated record. The transcript has 8 exons. Lineage: Eukaryota; Metazoa; Chordata; Actinopteri; Centropomidae.
UUGGCAUUUCAGGUGCUAUAUAAAGCAAUUAAAAUGAGUUCUUGACCAACCAAUGGGAUUUUAAAUGUAGGACUUUUACUGGCUAUUAGAAUCUGGGUACUUCUUCUACCGUUAUAUGAGCGUUAAAGACAAAUAACCUAAAAUAAAUAAGAGGAGGAAUAAAUAAAACUGGUGGAAUCAAAUCAGACACCCGUUAUUAUUUUUAUCAUUAUUGUUUUUCAUUGGUUUUCAUUUGAUCAUGUUACUUCAGUGCACUGAAGCCGCUGCACUGCUGUCUCAUGUCCAGGCCGCUAGAUGGCGCAUUACGCUUGCGUGGUGCGGAACAGAAUUCCGGCACGCGUCCCGGAAGAAUUAAUCUGCCGCGAAGUUAGCAUCUGCUCCUCUAGUCAUGUCCCAGGUGAGAACAAGUGACAGUUGGAGUGACAGGCUCAUUAGGACUUCAUUACAUGGCUGCUUGGACAGGAGGAGGAGAGAGGCCCACAAGAUGAGCUAUAAACGAGGACUGGCUUGGCGACCCAAGCAGGCCCAGGGCUUUUCUUCACAGGUUCACUGAAGGCCCCCAGGGAGCGGGGGGAGCACACCUGGACCAGGAACUACUGGGAUCUCUGCACCAGCUUGCCAAAACCACAGAGCUUACACAGCCCCGAGGAUGACAAGACAGGGAGAAGGAAGGGAAGGGACACAAUUCCAAGGAACAUCCAUCCAUCCACUCAUUAUCUAUACCACUUAUCCAUUAAGGGUCAUGGGGGAGCUGGAGCCUAUCCCAGCUGUCAUUGGGCAAGAGGCGGGGUACACCCUGUACGGAUCGCCAGUACAAUUCCAAGGAACAUGAUCGUGUAAAUAAACUGCAGAGACACGGGCUGGACUCUACACUGUGACUUUGGCUUGGUCAAGUCCUACAAACACAGCUGUCAGAUGAGGCAUGAGAUAACAGAUAACAGGUUGCCUUAGUGCUUUAGACAACAUUCUGUCUGUAAAUUGGGCUCCUACUUAACCUUGGUUAUCAGACAGGUAAGUAACAGGCACAUAUACAGUGCAGAGCCCUUGCUGGAUUUCCAUGAGUCAGCUGAGGAGAGCCCAGAGCCAAAGGACAUUACUGAGAUGUUACAUGGUCAACAAGACGCGGCCGGUAGGCGGAGCAGAAUCAGUCGACCAAUCACCGUCAGUCUGCCAACUUUGAGUGGCGUGUGUCGUCAUUGACCAUGACCGUGCAGAGAGGAGAGAGGAGAGCCGACGAGUGAAAACAUGGAGUAAAACCUGAGGAAAAUCAGCGUCUUGGUUCGCUAGCACUGUGUGAAAAGUCGAUUACUGAAGACACCUGGAUGCUAAAACAAGCUUUAGAGCUGAUUUUGUCGAACACGAGAGACGACACGGAACACAUCUGCGGGCGAAGUUAUGGGUGCAUGAAACAUGAAACACCAGCCAGAGCAGAGUACGAGAAGCUGAUGGGUCUGGAGCAUGAGGACUUCUCCUGUAUGGGCAGUGGUCUCUGACUGAAUCCCAAGUGGCCACGCAUGGGAGCCUCACCUGAUUCGACUGUCAUGGAACAGGUUUAAAGCCGUGGUGAGCCCACAGAACAGUAGAUGCUGCGGACCUGCUUUGGUGUGCUGGACUGCUUGUGACGGUUUUAAGGUCUUCUCCCCCUCUUCUCAUUCUCCCGGCGAAGAAGAGCAGCGCUGGAUGUCUGUGUUGUUCAGAAGAGUGAAUUAUAUAAGAAGUCAGAAAAAAAUAUUCUCCAGUCUCCAUGUUCUUUUCACUGUGACUGUCCGAACUGCAAAGCAACAUGAGGUUAAUCUGCGCCUCUUUACUGGAGACGAGGGAUUCUACCUCAUCAACGAUGGAGAUAAUGUUUCACCACACAGGAGCCACGUAGACUACUUCCACAUCCAGGCACAGCUUCAUGUUGUGGGUACUGAGUGUUGAGACUUUGUGGCGGGGCACUAUGAUGACAUUUUUGUUGAAAGAAUUUUGAGAUGAUGUGUUUCCCAAAGUUGAGAUUUUGUUCAGCAAGUUAUAAAAUAAUAUGUUGAUAUGUAAUAUGACAAAAACUCAGGAUCAGAAAUCAGGACAGGCACUAGAUUUAGUCAUAUUUAGCAAAUAGAUGAAGGACUAACAUGAAUGUAUCACAUGUCUAUACCCUACUUAGCUAGAAACUUUGAAGGACUCAGCAAUACCUUUGAUUGAAUUCAGCACCUAGGCUUUAUGUAAAAUUAACUAAAAAUACAAUUGUUACGGUGCUAUUGUUCUGUUAUUAGUCAUGACCCAGCUCAUUGACCAUUACAAAAAACAAGAAGAGACACUGUUUUUAAACUGAAACAUUGUACAAAUACAAUACAAACAAUAAAUAAAUAAUAUUCUGAA